UUUUAAUGAUAAUCAAAAUAAUAUAAAGAUACAAAAAGGCAAUAUAUUAAUUAAAAUAUGUAAUGUUAAUCACUGUAACAUUGAAUCCAAUACAUAUCAUCAAAAUAUAAAUAAAAACCAUUCACUAAGUAUGGUUGAUUUUAAAUUUAAAAUAAAAACCGUACACAUUGGACAAUGUGACCGAAUGAUGGCUGCAAUAUCAUGAACUAAUGGAAGAGAUAUACAUCCUCAUGCGGAUCUGAUGAAGUUAUACAGGCAAAAGAGCCACAAUCUUUAGCUAUAUUAUUCACUUGCUUAUCCAUUAAAACUGCCCUCCCAUAACUACUAUUCUUAUUGUUGCUGUCCAACCAUUUUUUUACCCUGCUCCCUUCUUCCCUUCUUGACGAUACCAAGGACCUGUAAAUCAGAAGAUAUCUUAUUAGAACAGCCAAGAAUCCUUCUGAUUAAUCCAAGCCAAUGACUGAGCAGGGGAGAGCAGGAAAUUGGGUAAAAUAUAAGUCAGAACAAGUCAAAUAAGCAACAUCUAAAUUCAUGAUGCAGAGACUGAAAAUAUCUACAACAUUCAAAUAUAUAGAAGGCAUCACCAAAAUUAAAUACGCAAACUAAGGUUGUGGGAAACAUGAUUACCCACCUCCUCAUCAAGACAUUCAAAUUUCCACACACUCUCACCCUCUUUGUUUAUUUCAUUUCACCAUCGUAAUCCUGUCAAGAUGUGUCCACUCACAUUCUUGACUACCCAAAAAUCAAGAGCAGCUAGAAGCACGGUAAAAACAAAAAUAAUGACAAAGCUAUCAAAAAGUAGAGCUGAAAGUAUGUAAAAUGCCAAAGCUGCAGCCUGCCAAAUGAAAGAAUUUAAUGUUAUCCACUAGUAAAAUUUGCAUAUAGAAAUAACAUCACAAAAGAAGAUAAUAAAUGACGUUGAAAAACACGUGGAAGAAACAUAUAUUUGGAUGAGCAUAAUUCUCCCCUGCAGGCUGAUAACAGAAAGAGAGAAACUUAUGAUGAGCAAUCAAGCAAUGUUACUAUUCAUUUAUUUUUAGUGAGUUUGAGAGGGGUGUUGUGCUUAACCAUGACUUACCUACACUACAAAGAAGAGGUAAGUGCCUGUCAAAGACAGCUCAAAUGAUAAACAAUCACUGAAUAGCUUUUAAUGAAAAUCUACCAAACAAGGUUUACAAAUAAAAAUCUAGAUGUUUUACUCCACACUGCAAAUCAGUAACUACAUCCAACUAUAGCCCUGCCUUCAACAUAAAUUUCAUAACAAGAAUACCCAGUUUAAAUCUAGAAUCAACCAAACGAUCUUUAACUGUGCAAAAAUCGUUAAAACACGGCAUCCAAUUCAAUCUCUCGAACAACCAUUGAUAUCUAAGCUCCAUGGUAUUAUCAUCAUGAAAUUCGAACAACAAAAUCACAACUUUUACGAAUUGCUUGAAUUUGAGGGAUUGUUUGAAUUAGUCAUUUUUUGUUCUAUUUAUGACAAACAGAAAUAUACAUACAGGGAUAGUCACUGAUAAAAUAUGGAUGUAAUAACAAAGAAACAACAAAUAUAUAUAAAUGUUCCAACAGAAAUGAAAAAGGGGGAAAACUGGCAUCAUCUCAAAACUCUCCCCAGUACAAGCAACUUAACAUCAUCGCCAUCAAUAUUAAAGUACAGAGAGAUACAGCAGCACAAAAAUAUCAAAGACACGAGCAAAUUGACAACCCAACUUUUUUAUACCCUUGCUCCAUUUCCAUUAUGUCCAUUUGUUCCAUUUACCCCAUUAGACAUCUUUUGAGAAGCAGCAGAUUUCUUCCUCUUCACAACUAGAUACUAGAUCUGGGACUGCACAAGGACAUAAUUUGUAAUGGCUGAACAUUAUUACAUCUGGGGCAAGAAGUUCUAAAGAUUCAAAGCACAUUUUAAUCAGAAAAAGAUUACAUCUAAUAAGUUGGUUAAAGCACAAUUUUAAUCAGAAGUUAAAGAAACAAAACAUUAUAAUAAUUUUGAGCACGCAACAUUUUCAAUUGAGUUUGAACUUUAACUUUACUGUAGAUCUACGAUAUUUCCCUAUAACCCAAUAAAUAAAUUGAUAGCUACUUAAUAAACGAAUUAAUGGUAAACAAAUAACCCAAUUUACAUUUCACACAAUAUUCCCCAUAAAUCCGAUAACAAUCCAACAAAUAAAAAAUCAAUAAAUGAUACCUCUUAGAUGUCUCAAGCGCUGAUUUGGGUC
Molecule: long non-coding RNA, 2213 nt
Filed under: Olea europaea (common olive)
Lineage: Eukaryota; Viridiplantae; Streptophyta; Magnoliopsida; Lamiales; Oleaceae
Description: long non-coding RNA (OEUR_LNC011474)
Source: RNAcentral